RNAcentral lists this ribosomal RNA (500 nucleotides) under uncultured bacterium. RNAcentral describes it as "partial 16S ribosomal RNA". It matches the Rfam family "Bacterial small subunit ribosomal RNA", at positions 30 to 523 of the family's 1533-position model. The record is from RNAcentral.
AUUGAACGCUGGCGGAAUGCUUUACACAUGCAAGUCGAACGGCAGCACGGACUUCGGUCUGGUGGCGAGUGGCGAACGGGUGAGUAAUGUAUCGGAACGUGCCCAGUCGUGGGGGAUAACGUAGUGAAAAUUACGCUAAUACCGCAUACGAUCUAUGGAUGAAAGCGGGGGAUCGUAAGACCUCGAGCGAUUUGAGCGGCCGAUAUCAGAUUAGGUAGUUGGUGGGGUAAAGGCCCACCAAGCCAACGAUCUGUAGCUGGUCUGAGAGGACGACCAGCCACACUGGAACUGAGACACGGUCCAGACUCCUACGGGAGGCAGCAGUGGGGAAUUUUGGACAAUGGGCGAAAGCCUGAUCCAGCCAUUCCGCGUGCAGGAUGAAGGCCCUCGGGUUGUAAACUGCUUUUGUACAGAACGAAAAGGUUUCUACUAAUACUAGGAGCUCAUGACGGUACUGUAAGAAUAAGCACCGGCUAACUACGUGCCAGCAGCCGCAGUAA